This 1376-nucleotide ribosomal RNA is filed under the name uncultured bacterium. RNAcentral's name for it is "bacterial SSU rRNA". It matches the Rfam family "Bacterial small subunit ribosomal RNA", at positions 28 to 1381 of the family's 1533-position model. The record is from RNAcentral.
GAUGAACGCUGGCGGCGUGCCUAAUACAUGCAAGUCGAGCGAACGGACGAGAAGCUUGCUUCUCUGAUGUUAGCGGCGGACGGGUGAGUAACACGUGGAUAACCUACCUAUAAGACUGGGAUAACUUCGGGAAACCGGAGCUAAUACCGGAUAAUAUUUUGAACCGCAUGGUUCAAAAGUGAAAGACGGUCUUGCUGUCACUUAUAGAUGGAUCCGCGCUGCAUUAGCUAGUUGGUAAGGUAACGGCUUACCAAGGCAACGAUGCAUAGCCGACCUGAGAGGGUGAUCGGCCACACUGGAACUGAGACACGGUCCAGACUCCUACGGGAGGCAGCAGUAGGGAAUCUUCCGCAAUGGGCGAAAGCCUGACGGAGCAACGCCGCGUGAGUGAUGAAGGUCUUCGGAUCGUAAAACUCUGUUAUUAGGGAAGAACAUAUGUGUAAGUAACUGUGCACAUCUUGACGGUACCUAAUCAGAAAGCCACGGCUAACUACGUGCCAGCAGCCGCGGUAAUACGUAGGUGGCAAGCGUUAUCCGGAAUUAUUGGGCGUAAAGCGCGCGUAGGCGGUUUUUUAAGUCUGAUGUGAAAGCCCACGGCUCAACCGUGGAGGGUCAUUGGAAACUGGAAAACUUGAGUGCAGAAGCAGGAAAGUGGAAUUCCAUGUGUAGCGGUGAAAUGCGCAGAGAUAUGGAGGAACACCAGUGGCGAAGGCGACUUUCUGGUCUGUAACUGACGCUGAUGUGCGAAAGCGUGGGGAUCGAACAGGAUUAGAUACCCUGGUAGUCCACGCCGUAAACGAUGAGUGCUAAGUGUUAGGGGGGUUUCCCGCCCCCUUAGUGCUGCAGCUAACGCAUUAAGCACUCCGCCUGGGGAGUACGACCGCAAGGUUGAAACUCAAAGGAAUUGACGGGGACCCGCACAAGCGGUGGAGCAUGUGGUUUAAUUCGAAGCAACGCGAAGAACCUUACCAAAUCUUGACAUCCUUUGACAACUCUAGAGAUAGAGCCUUCCCCUUCGGGGGACAAAGUGACAGGUGGUGCAUGGUUGUCGUCAGCUCGUGUCGUGAGAUGUUGGGUUAAGUCCCGCAACGAGCGCAACCCUUAAGCUUAGUUGCCAUCAUUAAGUUGGGCACUCUAAGUUGACUGCCGGUGACAAACCGGAGGAAGGUGGGGAUGACGUCAAAUCAUCAUGCCCCUUAUGAUUUGGGCUACACACGUGCUACAAUGGACAAUACAAAGGGCAGCGAAACCGCGAGGUCAAGCAAAUCCCAUAAAGUUGUUCUCAGUUCGGAUUGUAGUCUGCAACUCGACUACAUGAAGCUGGAAUCGCUAGUAAUCGUAGAUCAGCAUGCUACGGUGAAUACGUUCCCGGGUCU